Unclassified non-coding RNA from Otolemur garnettii (small-eared galago), 100 nucleotides. It matches the Rfam family "Y RNA". Rfam says of the family: Y RNAs are components of the Ro ribonucleoprotein particle (Ro RNP), in association with Ro60 and La proteins. Lineage: Eukaryota; Metazoa; Chordata; Mammalia; Primates; Galagidae. The record is from Ensembl.
GGCUGGUCCAAGUAAGUGCUGAUUACAACUAAUUGAUCAUACUAGUUACGGAUUCCUUUGUUCCUUCUACACUCCCACAGUUUUACUUGACUAGGUUUUU